Molecule: long non-coding RNA, 2106 nt
Organism: Bos taurus (domestic cattle)
Lineage: Eukaryota; Metazoa; Chordata; Mammalia; Artiodactyla; Bovidae
Source: Ensembl
CCACAUCCUGGAGGCUUUCUUAUGGUACCAGUUCAAACAAACUAAAUGUGGCUCCACACAAACAAUCACACAUUUAAGUUUCUACUGCAACAUUAUUCAUAAUAGCAAAAAAAAAAAAAAAAAACAGAUAAAUAAAUGUGGUACAUACAUACAAUGGAAUAUUAUUCAGCCACAAAAAGGAAUGGAGUACUUAUUCAAACAUCAACCUUGAAAACUUUACACUAAGUGAAGGUGUUACUUACCGGUUUGUUUUACCCAACUCGCAGCAAGCCAAAACGGUGAGAUGCUGAGGUUUGCACCAAAGCAAGGAGAUGGGCAAAUAGGUGUCAAAUCAUCUCGGAGAAGCCAAGACAAUCUUUGUACAGCACUGGCAUAACUAAGCUUCAGGCCUCUGCACAUUUUAAAGGUCACAAGUGCGCAUGCCUACGCAUGCCCAGACCAGCGGUCAGGGGUCCUUUCUAGCCCUAAGGCGCGCAGCUCGAACUAGACACAGCUGACUCUUGGCUCAGCCUUAACUACGUGCAGCUGACUCCAAGUUCCUGGAAAACAACUCAGGCAGGCAUCUUAUUGUUCAGGCUGCAUGCUGCCUGGAGGACGUGAAAAUCUUAAAACCUUGUUCAGAGAAGGGCUUCCCUGAUGGCUCAGUGGUAGAGAACCUGCCUGCCAAUGGAGGAGACGCGGGGUUGAUCCCUGGACUGGGAAGAUUCCACACGCCUCACAGCAACUAUGCCUGUGCCCUGCAGCUGCUGAGCCCCGUGCUAGAGCCGACAAGCCACGACUAUUGAAGCCCAAAUGCUCUAGAGCCUGUGCUCUGCAACAAGAGAAGCCACUGCAGUGAGAAGUCUGGGAACCAGAACAGAGUAACCGCCCAGUUACAGCAACUAGAGAAAGCCCACGAGCAAAAAUGAAGACCCAGCUCAACCAUAAAUAAAUAUGUUUUCAUGAAGCUAUUUAAUAAGACAAUUGGGGAGUUAAUGGCAUUGGCUAGAAGUACGACCAUUUCACUCUCAGAGUUUAGGCCUGAAUUACAUGUAAUUUACAAAAAAAUAUUUAAUAAGUGAGUUCAUCAAAAGAUCUUAAUUAAGUCACAUGAAAGGAGAGGUCUGCUCUACUAUGUGUUCCACUAUUACAUGUUCUGUUCUAAGAAGUUUAUUGAGGCCUGAUUAUUUCAACAGCACCUUAGACAGACUACUGUGAUCAUUUCAAAGUUGUCAUAAAUGUAUUGAAAAGAAAGUGAAAGACAAAGUGUUAGUCAGUCGCGUCCAACUCCAGGCUCCUCUGUCCAUGGAAUUCUGCAGGCAAGAAUAUGGGAGUGGAUUGCCAUUCCUUUAUCCAGAGGAUCUUCCUGACCCAGGGAUCAAACUCAGAUCUCCUGAAUUGCAGGCAGAUUCUUUACUGUCUUGAGCCACCUUACAUGGGUUACAUGAUAUGAAACAUUUAAGAUACCACUUUUUAAAAAUAAGUAUUAAUAUUAGACUAAAAAAUGUUGUACAAAAUUAAGUUAUUUCAAGGUAAAUUAGAAUAUUUUUAUUAUUAUAAAGCUAAGACUUUAUUAAGAAGGAAGUUGAAGGGUACAAAGAGGGGGUUAAGGAUUACUGGUUCCAGUGCUGGGUUCUGUACUAUUCUACCUCAGGAACCCAGUCAACUCUGAACAAGUAAAGUUCAGGAAGUGAAAUGGUGGCAACUGGAGAGUGUCCAGAAGAAUGGCCAACACUAACAUACCAUAUGUCCCAAGGCCUUCACUCUCAGGGUCAGCUGGCAGACUCUCAUGACAUGGAAGCCAGGAACAACGAGGAUGACCAGGGCUCCGCUGAAGUCUCCCUUGGGGAGAGUGGAAAUGAAACAAAUGGUAAACUACACUAAUGACUCUGUGACACACUUGCAGGCCUCUGGUGGUGUACCGUCUCCUGAACACAGAAAGGAUAGUCAACAAAGAGCCGUACCAGAAAAGUCUGUAAAACCGUAAAUUGCCACAACAGCUGAGAGAAUCAUCCUAUUGAAAGGAAAUUAAUGAGCGAGUGUCAAAAUGGGCAGUUGGUGUCAAUUCCUAGAGGAUUUGAAAGUGAGAAGUGGACUUGAGGAAACCAUGUUAAUAGAGACCUGGUU